This 1011-nucleotide long non-coding RNA is filed under the name Salmo salar (Atlantic salmon). RNAcentral's name for it is "lncRNA (ENSSSAG00000121202.1)". The record is from RNAcentral. Lineage: Eukaryota; Metazoa; Chordata; Actinopteri; Salmoniformes; Salmonidae.
GUUGAAAAUAACGGCUCUCUAGAAUGUGGUUGAAAAUAACGGCUCUCUAGAAUGUGGUUGAAAAUAACGGCUCUCUAGAAUGUGGUUGAAAAUAACGGCUCUCUAGAAUGUGGUUGAAAAUAACGGCUCUCUAGAAUGUGGUUGAAUAUAACGGCUCUCUAGAAUGUGGUUGAAAAUAAUGGCUCUCUAGAAUGUGGUUGAAAAUAACGGCUCUCUAGAAUGUGGUUGAUGAAUUGUAGCAUUUAGGAUGUCAUGGUAUUUGUACUACUCCUGGUUUGCUUUGACAAAACAAUACAUGUUGCACAAUGGUGUCUGUGUUAAAUAGAAGAAUCACAAAGGGAAUUACUUUACAUUCACAGUGCACACUUUGAACUUGCUGUGUGUGUGUGUGUGUGUGUGUGUGUGUGUGUGUGUGUGUGUGUGUGUGUGUGUGUGUGUGUGUGUGUGUGUGUGUGUGUGUGUGUGUGUGUGUGUGUGUGUGUGUGUGUGUGUGUGUUUGAAUGAUACAUUGUCCUAAACUCCUGACUGAACCAAAAAGAUUUCCAUCAUGAUUUCAUCCUCUGUGACUAAUGCUAACAUACCCAAAGAUGUAAAGACCUGACUAGCCAGUAGAUUUCAAACUAAAGGUUAACUUACAAGUGUUCAAACAAACAGAACAUAAUGUAUUACUGUAUGUUAUCAACUGCUGUGUGUUUUCAAAUGUACACAGACAACUAUUCAUUUUUCAAAGUGGCUGCGUUUAAGACAUGGAGUAUUCUCUGGGCUUUGUAUUUUCUACUGGGCUGCUGCAGCCAUUUUUUCAAUUAAUAGUAUGAUUUAGCUAUGAUGAUGAUGAUGAUGAUGAUGAUCUGGUUUUCCAUUCUCAGAUGAACCCUUGGUUAUUGGGUGGAAUGGAGUUGUUUUGAGGAAACAUUACUGCACCAAUGUAGAACGAUGAAUGAUGAGUCUGCUAUGAACCAAAACCAUUUGUUUUCCCUUUCAGGAAUGUCUCUAAAGUGUCUUACCAAAUAA